CCUCCCCCACCCACGGACCCAUCCAGAUGGUGUUCCGUGACAUCGCAGCACCUCUGCCCACCCAGGGCUUGGAUUGGCUGUUGACUUGCUGAUCAAAGAAAGCCCAAGGGCGUGGCCACUUCAGGGGCAGGUAUAGAAGGGGGGGGUUCAGGCCCACACAGCGCAGACCGCUGUGAGGAGCUCCCAGGAGAAGCAGGGCCAGGUAGCCAGCAGGGCAGAGCACAGGACCUAGGACCAGGCUGAGAAAGAAGAGAAGAGCAAUUAUCUUGUUCUUCUUUCCAUCCUCUAGCACCUGCUGGAUGGAUUUCAUGUGGUCCCUUAGUAUUUUCUCCAGUUGAUGAGCAAUUGAGCUGUUUCCAAAUUUUAUGAUGCUAUGAACUUGCUUGACCUUCCACAGCUGGGCUAUGAUUCUUUCAAUCCUUUUGGAAAGACACCCAGCCAAACCUCAGUUGCAGGUGAACUAGAACAAAAGAGUAAACAAUUCGGAUCUCACCUCAUGAAGCAGCUUCUCCACAGCAAGAGAAACCAACAGCAGACUGAAGGGACAACACACAAUGUGUGAAAAAACAUCGAGCAGAGAUUCCUCCAAGGAACACUAUCUAGAAUACAUAAAGAACUUCAAAAAUCAGAGCCCUCGGUAAAUGGAAAGACCUCAUCCAAAAAUGGGCUUCUGAAAUGAAUAGACAUUUCUCAGAUGAAGAUGGAAAAGCAGUCCAUAAACAUUUGAAAAGAUGUUCAAUGUGUCUGCUCAUUGGAGAGAUGAAUAUGAAAGCAACAUUGUAACUCCAUCUUCUGGAGAAAUUAGAGCUGCGACCAAGAAAUCAACCAAUAAAAAAUGCUGGUGGAGAUAUGGCCAAAACAGGAAUGCUUCUCCAGUAUUGCUGGGAAUGUAGACUGGUGCAAACACUGUGGAAAUCAGUAUGGGGAUUCCUCAAAAUAGUGGGAUUCCAUGUCCCAUUUGACCCAGCUAUUCCCCUUCCUGUGUAUUUUCUCAAAAAGACUAAAGCAUCAUACCACAGUCAUAUAAGCUCACCCAUGUUGACAGCGACACAGUGUGUAAUAGCUAACAAAUGGACAUCAAGUGGGUAUUGGGUAAAGAACAUGUGGGGGCUUUUUAUGAAGUGGAGUACUACUCAGCUACAAAGAAAGGGAAAUUAGAGAUAUCUAUACCUGAAUGUAUGCACCUUGAGGCCAUACCCUUCAGUGAAAUAAACAGGAC
This 1219-nucleotide long non-coding RNA is filed under the name Heterocephalus glaber (naked mole-rat). RNAcentral describes it as "lncRNA (ENSHGLG00100048673.1)". Lineage: Eukaryota; Metazoa; Chordata; Mammalia; Rodentia; Bathyergidae. The record is from RNAcentral.